This is a long non-coding RNA of Phlebotomus papatasi, 295 nucleotides long. RefSeq lists it as uncharacterized. Lineage: Eukaryota; Metazoa; Arthropoda; Insecta; Diptera; Psychodidae. The transcript has 3 exons. The record is from RefSeq and is a predicted model, not a curated record.
CGAGGCACAAAGGAAUCCGGUCAAUCGACCCGGAUUUAAUCAUUUGUGUCUCUUCAACAGGUAUUGCUGGAAGUGAGUUGCAGUAAGGUCAGGAAUUAAUCAGGCUACAAUUGCGACUCUUUUAGGUAUCUAUUCUGGAUGUGGGUUUCUGUAGGAAGGCAGUCAACCUAACCUAAUAUUAUUUAUUGAAUUGUGCAGGUAUUGCUGGAAGUGAGUUGCAGUAAGGUCAGGAAUUAAUCAGGCUACAAUUGCGACUCUUUUAGGUAAUCCUCCACAUAAAAUUCUGGUCCUUCGA